Molecule: long non-coding RNA, 504 nt
Filed under: Ananas comosus (pineapple)
Lineage: Eukaryota; Viridiplantae; Streptophyta; Magnoliopsida; Poales; Bromeliaceae
Description: long non-coding RNA (ACOM_LNC040156)
Source: RNAcentral
UGGAAACGAGCCGAGCUCGAGCGAGCUUAUGUCAGCUCAAAUUCGGCUUGAAAUUAAUUUCGAGUCUAAAUCUAGGCUCAAGCUCGGCUUGAAAUUAAUUCGAGCCGAGCUCGAGCGAGCCUAAUUUCGAGUCGAGCCGAGCUCAAGCUCUAAACGAGCUGAUUGAAAUUCUCGACAUUAUAUAAUCAAUAGUUUAAUUUUUAUAGAACAUUACCUAUAAUUUGAUGCAAUAUGUCCAAUAGUUCAAAAUACAAAAUAAUUGCAAGAAAUGUGAGCUAGGGUGACUACCUGACUGGGUGAGGGUCCGAGAGAGAGAGAGAGAGAGAGAGAGAGAGAGGGGGGGGAAAAAAUUAGGGAUUUAGGAAUUUGAAUGUUAUCAUAUUUUAGGGUUAUGUGCAACAGUGAAAGUCUAAAAGAGAGAGUGUGUUAUGUAAAUUUAAAGUUGGGCUCAAUUGCACGGUUGUACUUGUUGGGUUUAUUUUUUGAUGGCGCCAACAAUAAUGG